CCCAGACAGCCAGGAUGUUGGCUUAGAAGCAGCCAUCAUUUAAAGAAAGCGUAAUAGCUCACUGGUCGAGUCGGCCUGCGCGGAAGAUGUAACGGGGCUAAACCAUGCACCGAAGCUGCGGCAGCGACGCUGAUGCGUUGUUGGGUAGGGGAGCGUUCUGUAAGCCUGCGAAGGUGUCCCGUGAGGGAUGCUGGAGGUAUCAGAAGUGCGAAUGCUGACAUAAGUAACGAUAAAGCGGGUGAAAAGCCCGCUCGCCGGAAGACCAAGGGUUCCUGUCCAACGUUAAUCGGGGCAGGGUGAGUCGACCCCUAAGGCGAGGCCGAAAGGCGUAGUCGAUGGGAAACGGGUUAAUAUUCCCGUACUUGGUGUUACUGCGAAGGGGGGACGGAGAAGGCUAUGUUGGCCGGGCGACGGUUGUCCCGGUUUAAGCGUGUAGGUGUGUGUUCCAGGUAAAUCCGGAACAUCAAGGCUGAGGCGUGACGACGAGGCACUACGGUGCUGAAGCAACAAAUGCCCUGCUUCCAGGAAAAGCCUCUAAGCAUCAGGUAACAUCAAAUCGUACCCCAAACCGACACAGGUGGUCAGGUAGAGAAUACCAAGGCGCUUGA
This 608-nucleotide ribosomal RNA is filed under the name Salmonella enterica subsp. enterica serovar Kentucky. RNAcentral describes it as "partial 23S ribosomal RNA". It matches the Rfam family "Bacterial large subunit ribosomal RNA", at positions 1084 to 1693 of the family's 2925-position model. The record is from RNAcentral. Lineage: Bacteria; Pseudomonadati; Pseudomonadota; Gammaproteobacteria; Enterobacterales; Enterobacteriaceae.